Long non-coding RNA from Daphnia pulicaria, 489 nucleotides. RefSeq lists it as uncharacterized. Lineage: Eukaryota; Metazoa; Arthropoda; Branchiopoda; Diplostraca; Daphniidae. The transcript is spliced from 3 exons. The record is from RefSeq and is a predicted model, not a curated record.
AUUACAACCCCGAGAUCCCAGUUGCUGAACCCCAUGUGUUGCAUAACCCAAUCCUCUCUUCCCCUUGACAUCAAGCAUAUAGUCGUCUGCUAAGCCCAGAUCUCACUCACUCUCACACUGACACUACGACGGUACAGUCACAGUUCCUCUCUAAGUAUACCAUCACUGUGUGUCUUUUGAUAACGUGUAACGUGUUAUGGGCCCAGGUUCACGCAUCGACUGAUUAGAAAGAUGGCAAACAACGUAAGUGAAAAUCAUCUCAAAGAUGUCAGCCAUGUCCCUAAGUUUGAUGGAAGCAACUUUCGUGAGUGGAGCUACGAACUUCGCAUGAUUCUUCAACAACUAGGUUUACUUUCAAUCAUGGAAGCAAGAGUUGGACACACAAUCCCCACAGAGAUAACUAAUGACAGAGGGCAAGUUACCAACACCGCCCAAAUUGAAGCAUGGAAUCUGAAAGAUGUCACGUCCAGAAACUACAUCUUUGCCACA